This is a non-coding RNA of Coffea arabica (coffee), 1362 nucleotides long. Lineage: Eukaryota; Viridiplantae; Streptophyta; Magnoliopsida; Gentianales; Rubiaceae. The record is from RefSeq and is a predicted model, not a curated record.
UUAUUAUGGUCAGGAAGGAUAUUGAGCAUAUCAUGGCCCCAAAAACUAAGACAAAUUUCUAACUUUGUGAUGGAUUUCAAAAAAAUUCUGCAAAAGGGAUGAAUUUGGAAUGGAAUUCCGAUCAGGUCUUUGCAUUCAGAAAAUGCGAGGUCAUGAAUGCGAGCUCACGUGUUAAAAAAAGGACUACCCACACAUUAUUCACUUUGGCUAAUAUAUUAACCCAAAAGCUGUCCCCUUCUGAUUUUAUCCAUAUCUUGGAGUAUUCUAAGACUAUUAUGUCUGUUUCUUUUGCUGUAAAACCAUGAUGAAAACUUGCCUCUUUCGCCAAAUGAUGCCGGUAGCUUUUGGCCUCUGUUUUGCAGCUUUUGCUCAACACUCUCGGCUCUGUUUGCCAGCUUUCCGGCGACUUAGCUGUCUGACGACAGCUUCCGUGGGUGUAAGAUGAAACAAAAUUGCAGUCCUUCCCUCCAAUUUGUAUCUCCUCUUGAUGGAUGCUGCUGCUCCAUAGAUUUGAAUGACGGAUUUGGGAUGGAAUUUGGGUUCAAUUUGCAGUGCCCAAUUCUGCUGGUUUCUUAAGGGUUUCUGAAUAAAUCGGCUCUGUUUCUUAACCAAGCUCUGUUUUUUCUUUUUGACUGAAAGACUAAGCACCUCAAAUGCGAGGUACACUUUCAAGAAAAAAAGUUUCAAGCUCGCAUUUGUCUAAUGCUUAGUCAACCUGAUUUUAGAAACAACUCCACAAAUAGCCUCUCUUGUAGAAACACUUUUUUUUUCAUAAUAAUUUAAGAAUUUAUUCCAAAAACCAGUGCCUCUUAUGUGGCCAUGGUAGUUGUUCAGCAUGCUUAUGGUGGAUUAAAUAUCUUGAUGAACAUCGCCCUGGACAAGGGGCUUUUUUUUUUUUUUUUUUUUUCCUGACGGAGUGGACAAGGGGCUUAACCAACAUGCUUUUUGUGUGUGACGGCAUGUAAUUGCGAUGCUUAUUUUGGGACCUUUUGCUUAUAUGCUAGAAUGCUGCUGCUGGAAGACAGGAAAAAGCGACCAAGACCAUCCCUCUCUUUUGUGGCGGUGAUGAAGAUGUUCAUGCUCUCUUCAAUCGGAACAACCAUCCAUCUUGACAUUUACUAUGUGAGUUUGGGGUACACUUCACCAACUGUUGCCAGUACUUUGAGUAAUGUCAUCCCCGGUUUGACGUUCGUCAUCUCUGUGCUUAUGAGAUACCGUAACAUUACAUUACAUUACUACUAGCUAGUAAUAGUGUUGAUAAAUCACUACCAGCCAGAGCCAGUAAGUACGUGCGUACUGCUAUGUAAUCGUAUGAUGUUGUUCAGUCAAGUGAUGAAACAAACAUAUGCAAAUUAAUGAUCC